This 146-nucleotide unclassified non-coding RNA is filed under the name uncultured Helotiales. RNAcentral describes it as "sequence contains ITS2". The record is from RNAcentral. Lineage: Eukaryota; Fungi; Ascomycota; Leotiomycetes; Helotiales.
CAACCCUCAAGCACUGCUUGGUCUUGGGCCACGCCGGCGACGGCGGGUCUUAAACGUAGUGGCGGCACCAUCGGUUCCCUCAGUGUAGUAAUAUCUCUCGCUGUUGGGCCCUGGUGGUCGCUGGCCAGCAACCCUUUAUUUUUUCU